AACGCGAAGAACCUUACCUGGGUUUGGCAUCCUCUGAACGUCGUAGAGAUACGAAAGGCCCGAAAGGGACAGAGAGACAGGUGCUGCAUGGCUGUCGUCAGCUCGUGUCGUGAGAUGUUGGGUUAAGUCCCGCAACGAGCGCAACCCUUGUUCUUAGUUGCCAGCAUUAAGUUGGGCACUCUAAGAAGACUGCCAACGUUAAGUUGGAGGAAGGUGGGGAUGACGUCAAGUCCUCAUGGCCUUUAUAUCCAGGGCAACACACGUGCUACAAUGGCCGGUACAAAGCGCUGCGAAAUCGCGAGAUGGAGCUAACCGCAAAAAACCGGUCUAAGUUCAGAUUGGAGUCUGCAACUCGACUCCAUGAAGUUGGAAUCGCUAGUAAUCGCGGAUCAGAACGCCGCGGUGAAUACGUUCCCGGGCCUUGUACACACCGCGUGUCU
RNAcentral lists this ribosomal RNA (440 nucleotides) under uncultured bacterium. RNAcentral's name for it is "bacterial SSU rRNA". It matches the Rfam family "Bacterial small subunit ribosomal RNA", at positions 958 to 1399 of the family's 1533-position model. The record is from RNAcentral.